RNAcentral lists this ribosomal RNA (253 nucleotides) under uncultured bacterium. Its description in RNAcentral is "partial 16S ribosomal RNA". It matches the Rfam family "Bacterial small subunit ribosomal RNA", at positions 524 to 776 of the family's 1533-position model. The record is from RNAcentral.
UACGGGGGGAGCAAACGUUGUUCGGAAUCACUGGGCGUAAAGGGCGUGUAGGCGGCUGAAUAAGUGGGAUGUUAAAUCCCCCGGCUCAACCGGGGACCUGCAUCUCAUACUGUUCAGCUCGAGCACAUCAGAGGAGACUGGAAUUCCCGGUGUAGCGGUGAAAUGCGUAGAGAUGUGGAGGAACACCAGUGGCGAAGGCGGCUUUUUGGUCUGUAACUGACGCUGAGGCGCGAAAGCGUGGGGAGCAAACAGG